UACGAAGGGGGCUAGCGUUGCUCGGAAUCACUGGGCGUAAAGGGCGCGUAGGCGGACUCUUAAGUCAGGGGUGAAAGCCUGAGGCUCAACCUCAGAACUGCCUUUGAUACUGAGAGUCUCGAGACCGGUAGAGGUAAGUGGAACUGCGAGUGUAGAGGUGAAAUUCGUAGAUAUUCGCAAGAACACCAGUGGCGAAGGCGGCUUACUGGACCGGUUCGCGGCACGCUGAGGCGGCGAAAAGCGUUGGGGAGCAAACAGG
Molecule: ribosomal RNA, 259 nt
Filed under: uncultured bacterium
Lineage: Bacteria
Description: partial 16S ribosomal RNA
Rfam family: Bacterial small subunit ribosomal RNA
Source: RNAcentral